RNAcentral lists this small RNA (8294 nucleotides) under Pan troglodytes (chimpanzee). Its description in RNAcentral is "retained intron". Lineage: Eukaryota; Metazoa; Chordata; Mammalia; Primates; Hominidae. The record is from RNAcentral.
AAGAAAAUGCAAGUAAAAUGAAGAAAAUAUAUGGAGAAUUCUGUAGCCAUCAUAAAGAAGCUGUUAACCUCUUUAAAGAACUCCAGCAGAAUAAAAAAUUUCAGAAUUUUAUUAAGCUCCGAAAUAGUAACCUUUUGGCUCGACGCCGAGGAAUUCCAGAAUGCAUUCUGUUGGUCACUCAGCGUAUUACAAAAUACCCUGUCUUGGUGGAAAGGAUAUUGCAGUACACAAAGGAAAGAACUGAGGAACAUAAAGACUUAUGCAAAGCCCUUUGCUUAAUUAAAGACAUGAUUGCAACAGUGGAUUUAAAAGUCAAUGAAUAUGAGAAAAACCAAAAAUGGCUUGAGAUCCUAAAUAAGAUUGAAAACAAAACAUACACGAAGCUCAAAAAUGGACAUGUGUUUAGGAAGCAGGCACUGAUGAGUGAAGAAAGGACUCUGUUAUAUGAUGGCCUUGUUUACUGGAAAACUGCUACAGGUCGUUUCAAAGAUAUCCUAGCUCUACUUCUAACUGAUGUGCUGCUCUUUUUACAAGAAAAAGACCAGAAAUACAUCUUUGCAGCCGUUGAUCAGAAGCCAUCAGUUAUUUCCCUUCAAAAGCUUAUUGCUAGAGAAGUUGCUAAUGAGGAGAGAGGAAUGUUUCUGAUCAGUGCUUCAUCUGCUGGUCCUGAGAUGUAUGAAAUUCACACCAAUUCCAAGGAGGAACGCAAUAACUGGAUGAGACGGAUCCAGCAGGCUGUAGAAAGUUGUCCUGAAGAAAAAGGGGGAAGGACAAGUGAAUCUGAUGAAGACAAGAGGAAAGCUGAAGCCAGAGUGGCCAAAAUUCAGCAAUGUCAAGAAAUACUCACUAACCAAGACCAACAAAUUUGUGCGUAUUUGGAGGAGAAGCUGCAUAUCUAUGCUGAACUUGGAGAACUGAGCGGAUUUGAGGACGUCCAUCUAGAGCCCCACCUCCUUAUUAAACCUGACCCAGGCGAGCCUCCCCAGGCAGCCUCAUUACUGGCAGCAGCACUGAAAGAAGCUGAGAGCCUACAAGUUGCUGUGAAGGCCUCACAGAUGGGCGCCGUGAGUCAAUCAUGUGAGGACAGUUGUGGAGACUCUGUCUUGGCGGACACACUCAGUUCUCAUGAUGUACCAGGAUCACCGACUGCCUGUAAGUGAAAAUGCAGGCCUUGGCAAUGAGCCUGAGCACAAUCCCUGGAGCUUACAGUGGCCACAUAAAGUAAAGGCAAUGACUGUCUCUGGUUGAAGGGGACUUGAUAUAUUUUUUUAAAUUAGAAAAAAACUGAGAAUAAAUAUGCUAGCCUAAAUGAGUAUCAUAUGCAUAUAAUAAUGACACUGGGGUUUCAAGUAUGAGGAUCUAAAGAGUAGUUGGUGGGUUCUACUGCUCUGUUUGCCAGCCAAAUAUCGGACCUUCCCCAACCCCUACCCUGCCUCAUUUUUGAUAUGAUUUAUUCAUUACAGUUUUGAAAGAACUUUUUAACUUUUCAGGUUUUUUAAAAAAGGAGUCCCUGCGGUCAAUUACAGAACAAGCCCUUAAACCUAAUCUCAUGUGCAUCAACUGAGAAAACAACUCAGAAAACCAGAAAUAUACACACGGCUCCCUCCGUCUCCCUCCUUUCUCUCUCCCUCUCUCUUUCUCUCUCUCUCACACACACGAAGUUUGGUGGUAUGGUUAAAGCAGAAGUGCCAGAAAAUUCUUGAUCUGUGCCAUCCUACACUUUAGUUCAUGUCAGAAUUCAUUUAUGAAAACAUUGUUUCAAAACAUUUUAAAUAUAAAAAAAAUAGAAUGUAGAGAUUUGGUUUAGGUAAUUUCCCCGAACCUAGCUAUCCUGUUAUAUGUAUAGUUGUAGGCUACUUAGUUCCAUAAAGGUUUCUAAGAUAAGAGCAUAAAGAGUAUACUUUUCAUCCUGUGCAGGUGGUAACAACCUUACUUCCACAAGGUCUUAUGUGCGUAAGAUAAAAUGGAUAAAAUGUCUUCAGUAGUUAGAGAUCAGAAGAUUAAAUUGAACUCAAGAUUGGAAGAUUAAAUUGAACUCAGAACUUCUUUAACAACAUCCCUUGAUUAAUUAAGAUAUAUAGAUGCAGUAUAGCUUUUUAAUUCUAUACUUCUUUUUUUUUUCUUUUUUAAACAUCAGCACCACUAAUUAUCUUCCUCUCUCAAGUUCUGCUUUAUCUAAUCCUGAGUUUCUAUUUUCAGAAUGCGCACAUAUGUUUUUCAUUUUGACACAGCCCAGAUUCAUCAGGGGAGUUGUACUGCCCUGGGUGAUUUCCUUUUAAAAGAAGAACCUCAUUAUGCCAUUGAGGAGUCUCUGUCUAAAAAUACGUGCAGGGAUCUGCUGCUCUCAGCCUCGCCCCAGGGACAGCUGGAGAGGCUCCCCUCCGCAGCUGCCCGAGCCCGCGGCCGUGCCUUCCCUCCCUUCAGGCCAGGCAGUGAAGGUCUCCUUGUCUGUAUCCACAUCUCUCAUGACUGGGGAGAGUUUCAAAGGGACACCCGUGGCAUUUGCCAGAACCAUUGAGAGGCUCUUUAGAGGGGUCUGAUAUCGGGAUUCAGGUAGAGGAAGUACCGAAGCCGGCUGGUGGGGUCCUGUACCCCAAGGCCUCUUCAGUUCUGGGUCAGACUGGAACAUGGUGCUAUGAGAGUUUGAUUCUCUUUAUAAAGUUGUUCAAGGCACAAGGCUAGCUCUAAAUGGAGGUCUACAACUGUGACUGAAUGGGUCGGUUCUGCAAAUGACUUGGAGAACUGGGCUCUUCUGCAUCAGGCUUAUGUCAGCCUGAGGUUAUAAGCCAAGCAGACAGCUCUAUUUUCAGUCUUCAGUAUACAUGAUGAGUAUCUUCUACUUCUAGGAAAGUUCUGUUCACUGGAGACCCUCUGGCCCACCCUGAAAUUGGAUACAGGGACAGGGACCUGAUCUGUGUUUUAUUCUUCUGCCUUGUCAUCAGCUUCUUUCCCAUUUGAUUUUCCUAAUUUCUAUGAGGGAGUGAGAAACAGAGUGGUGAAUUCUUUAGUGAUGCCUUUGGCCACUCUUUAAGAGUUAGGAAUAGCACCCAAUAGUAGAACCAUUUUUCAAAUGACAGAGAAACCUAUAAAAUGUCCCUCAUUGUAAGUGAAUAAGUGCUGAUCAGCUUGAACAAAAUGGACUUGUUUUUAGCUGAUCUCAUCGGAAGCCGUUUCCGUUUAGACAAAAACUUCUUUGUAUUAGAAGAGGUCUUUGAAAUCCUAGAGGACUCUCAUUUUCCAAAGACAUAAGUAUUUUUGUUAAAGAAAAAGGCAUUUCCUAUAUUGGAAAUAAAGUUUCAAAAUGACACAAUAAAAAUUAUACAAACAAACAGUGUCACAAAGUGAAUAUCGAUUUUGUCAGGGUCUGGAUUGGACAUGGUUCUAAUAAAACACUGUUUUGGGCUUUGAAAAUUCUAGUUUUAAUCAGUGCAAGGUGGGCACAGUUUAAGUUUUAACUGAGUUCACAUGGGUAAAGAAAGAAAGAAAAUCCUGCCAACAGAGAUUUAAUGGAUGAAGUGAAAUCUGUAUUUGGUACUUAAAAAUAUUUCGGGACUAGUUUCUAUGUUUUCAUAGUUUAAAUACAUAGUAUUUGUAAAUCUAAAGCAUAACAAGAAAUGUGAGAAAAACAACACAUUUAGAAAUUGUUAAAAAAUAAGUUAUUCAGAGAUAGGGACAGGUUCUUGGUUUGUAUGACUAUGAGACCGUGAAGUAUUAGCCAUCUCCGCCUUCCUAGAAAGAUGUCUCCCUCCUGCUUCGGACUCCUCCUUCCUCCUAAACCUUGUUUAUCGUCUGCUGCUCUUGCACUGGCCACAAGAGAGACUUUUUACAGACUUGAGUCUGCCAAGAGACCUUGCUUUUGUUCUACAGCACCUGUUUAAAUUUCAUCCUUCCCAGGAGGCAUUUUCCUAUUAAGUGAGAGUGAGAUGUAGAUUCUACCCUCUGUAACACAAACAACACACGAACACUUCAGUGCAAGAAAGAAAAGUACAAAGAUGGUGAUACUUUGUGCGGUUCGUCAGUUGCUGUCUGUUAGCGUGUAAGCCCCAUGUGGGCAGGGACCACAUGCGUUGCUCUGCGCUCAUCCAAGCACCUCAUCUAAGAAUACUCAAUAUGUAUUAUUUUGUGGUGUUUCCUAUUUUGAAAUAUGUGUUGGCCGUGUACAGAAGAACCCGGUGGGCUGGCCGAUGUUUGACGCUGUCCUUUUUGUUUCUGUCUCGAUGGCGUGCUUCCAGCAUUAGUCACAGGACGGAGAGAAGGAAGAGGCUGUUCGGAUGUGGAUCCCGGGAUCCAGGGUGUGGUAACCGACUUGGCCGUCUCUGAUGCAGGGGAGAAGGUAUUGUGAACUGAUUUGUUAGUAAACGGCAGCGGUUACUGUGUAUAAUAAAAUAGCCUCAGGUUCUGGUCUGUCACGGCAGUCAGUGGGACAAAGGUGCUUUUCUGAAUUGUUCUCAAUUGAUUUAAAUAUUCAUAUUUAAACUUUCUAACUUAUUUCUUCUUCAAAUGUGCUUGCACUUCCUGUGUCAUGUAGGUGUAAACAAAGCAACGAUUGAAAAGUUAUUAAAAAGAUUAAAAACUCUCCUGUGUAUAUGUGUGUCUGUGCUCUCUGACUUCUGGUCUUUCUGCCCUGCAAACCUUUGCUUCUCACCCACUAUGUCUGGCAGCUCUGGCACCUGGGGGCCCUUUUGCAACCAGAUGGCGCCAAAGUAAUUGAAACACCUUUUACUUUGGAAUAUUCUUGUUUCUUUCACCUUCCUUGACCCUCCUCUCCUUGCAGAGUUGAUUUCCUGUCACCACCCACAUUUCACCUACUUUUUUUGUGGUUAAUUUUUAAUUAAUCUGACCAGUUUUUGCGUGGGGCACAGCGAUUCCCAAAGGGAAUCUUCUUUUUUGACUUACUGCUAUAUACAUAGGUAUUAACUCUCUCUUUAAGAAUUAAAUACAUAAAACUUCCUAUUAAUGUCUACUGAAAGUGAGAUGUCAGAAAUAGGAAAGGAGUAAAAUAUGAUUCUGGGAGGUGGCUGGUUGGCCUCUUCCUGCUUGUCAGGGCUCCAGAGUUUAGCUUUAUCUAAAAUUGAAUUAGGUACAUUACUAGGUGCCACUAUGUGUCAAUGUGAAAAAAUGGCAAAUGUCAGAUCUUCUCAUGUAUACAACAUAUUUUACAUAUUAUAUACUUUUUGUGUAUAUUACAUAAGACUGAGAAAUCAAGUCAAGGACUUUUAAAAUCCAGAGAAAAGACAGCUGUGACUGAGUGUUCUUUUUUAAACUUCACAGGCCAAAAUGAGCAUAGGAAUGUAAUAUUUUACUCCUUCUGAUUGUAAGCUUUCUAAUGUAUUGCUUCUUAAAAUGUUCCUGCUUUUCAUCCUUUUCAGUGAAGACUUCACUUUUAAGUGUGAAGUUUGUGGUGUCCAACUGUGUUAAUAGAAAAGAGAGAGUGAAUUGGACAGUAAUAAUUUAAUCUUGAAUACAAAGUUGGGUGGCUCCUACCCCUAAAGUCUCCCUCUUCCACUCCAAUUCAGCUACAGGUAGAUAAUUGAGGUUAAGUGUCUGGGUUCUUCUUUGGAUUAAGCUAUCUGCAAAAUUUUUUGCUUAAUAAGGCAUUUUGAAAAAUUAAUACAUUAAUAAACCCAGGUAAAGGGCAGGAUCACUUGAAAUCAAACUUUUAAAAGGUGUAUAAUGGAUAUUUUGUCAUUAGCUUCCUCUACAAGGUAAGGUUAGAACAAAUUUCUGAAAGAAUAUUAAAAAAUAAAAUCUGACUCAAAUGCAGAAAUAAUGGAUAAAUCGCCAACUGCAGUUUUAAACAUUUACCACAAGGUGGCGGAACAACUCCAUUGAAAACGCGAAAUUUCCUGUCUUGUGUCAAACCUAGUGGCUUUUGGGCAUAAGUAACCGCAGGUAGCACAGUCCAGCUCAUUUCUAUGGUUCUAAUUUUUAUAGACUAUAAAAACUCUGUGCCAUAUGGUCUUACUACAGAAGCAGUGGAGUGUGGAUGGGCCACGACAGAGCCAGAAGGGCAGCGAGAACGCCAACCAUCCCUCUAGGGCGGGGGUUCUUAGAGCCUGUUCUCUCCCAUAGGGUUUGGCACAGAUCUAAUGUCUUUAAGCUUCAUCUCCAUUUUCAGCCUCUGUCUUUUCUCUAUCAGAGGUGCUGCUUACGAGUGAAAUCUUUAAUUGGCAGUCCAGGGGAAGCGGAGGUCUGGCUAGCUCAUCCUGGCAUCAUCAGCCUAAACUAAUUGAAUUUAACAAGUUCAAAAUUACCCGAGGACAUGACCAUGGCUGGCUGCUUUAUAUGGCUUAAAAUUAGAUGAGACAGUAGGCCCUUGAGGACAGGGCAUCUGAUGGUCUCCCAUAGCGUAAGGUGUGAAGUUUACAGUGGGUGAUCGAUAUUCAUUUAUUGAAUGGCGUGCCAUCGAGUUCAACUUGGAGUCAUUCACUUGUUGAGUGUCCGUGCUAUGUCAAGCAUCAUUCUUAUAAUAUGGAGCACAUGGACAAAGUCUCGCUACUCACUGGUUUGCAUCCUAGGGAGAGAAGGCCGACAAUAAAUGAAUAAACAAGUGUUCAAUUAUGGAGGCUGCAAACCAUCACUAUCCACGUGUGCCCUUAAUGUGUGCUGUGGAAGAGACAAAGAACGAAGCAUAGACCCUGUCCCUAAAGAACAGACAGUCUCCUGUGGCUGGUUCAUGGCCUCUGCUGCUAGUACUUCUACUAUGGCAGUCACUGGUCCGGUGAUCUCUGACUGUGGUGGGAUCUAGAGCAGCCCAGCUAAGCGCGCCCCUAUGGCCGCGGUCUGAGUCUGGUUUCUUUUCCCAACUGCUGUAUAUGUUGAUAUCGUGAAUCUCAAACAUUGAGAAAAGGAGUUAAGGCCAGACAUGAUAUUCUUUCUUUAACUUUCAAUCUGUCCUCUAGAAUAUAAGAGGUCAGCCUGACCCAAAAGACAACUUCAAUCUGGGCACAGAGAACUCAAUUCACAUUGUGGUUUGCACAAGGUAAAUGUUGUUACUUGAGUUUUCAGGGCGUCCUUACUGUCAUCCCUUGUUGUUUUAAGGGGUGAUUGGGUGAAAAUUGCCAUCCAUCUCAAACAUCAACUUUGCGUGAAGGACGCUCUUGUUGUCAAGUGUUUGUUUGAUUCUAUAGGCUUUUAUUUCUGGGAGGAAACUGAGUCAGUAUAGAUGAGGUAAUCAAGUUUAGAGAUAGCAAAGUGAUUUACCCAAGGUCAUACAUUUUGGGACACUGCAGGGCAGCUUUUCAGAAGUAGAAUGGUUAUUCAUUUUCUUGUUUUUUAUGUAUUUUAGGUGGAAUGUAGAAAUUUUCCAGGUUCUUCACAAUCAGAGAUUAUACAAGCCAUACAGAAUUUAACCCGUCUCUUAUACAGCCUUCAGGUAACUACCCUCCUCUAAUCUUUGACCUUGUGAAUGGUUCUCUUAAUGCAAUUCUCUUUGAUGAUUCCCAGACUUUAAAAAUGAGAACAAGUGAGAGGUAGGGAAUGAUCUUAAACGAAUGACAACCUUCUAAGUGUGAUGUGUUGAACUCACAUGGUUUUGUAAUCAGAGGCAACACCAUGACUACAUUUUAUACCAUUCUUCUCUGAAAUCAUAAAACAGUUCAUAUCUUUAAAAAAUAUUGAUGAAUAUGAUCUGGCUUGACAUUUACAAUGAAACUCUUAGGUGAGUGUAGCAUGACUUCACAUUUUCUGAUGAAAACCUAAAUUCACACCUAAACUUCUUUGACUUCUCCAUGUGGCCAUCAGCCUUUAGAGCAGUUAAGUAAUCCAUAUGUUGCUUUACUCUUUUGUUUGUUCAUCCACUCAACAUUUAUUAAUUUAUUAAUGUUGAGGGGAUGAACACACAGUGCCUGUCUCUGUGCUGACUGUGCUGAGGGCUGAGCACACAAAGGCAAAUGAGCCACACAGCCUGCUCUCAAAUAGCUUACUGCCUUUCAAGGAAGAGCAGACAUAAAAAAGAAAUCAUGCUUGCAUUUAGGAUUAAAUGGUUGGAUGAUCCCUUAGGCUGGGGUCCCCAAACCCCAGGGUGCAGAGUGGUACCUGUCUGGGCUGCACAGCAGGAGGUGAGCUGGGGGCAAGCGAGCAGUACCACCUGAACUCCACCUCCUGUGAGAUCAGUGGCAGCAUUAGAUUCUUAUAGGAGCGUGAACCCUGUUGUGAACUGUGCAUGCAGUCUAGGGAUCUAGGUUGCCCCCUCCUUAUGAGAAUCUAACGCUUGAUGAUCUGAGGUGGUACGGUUUCAUCCUGAAACCAUUCUCACCACAUCCCAGCCCAUACAUUAAAAAAAAAAAAAAAAA